Long non-coding RNA from Camellia sinensis, 1695 nucleotides. RefSeq lists it as uncharacterized. Lineage: Eukaryota; Viridiplantae; Streptophyta; Magnoliopsida; Ericales; Theaceae. The record is from RefSeq and is a predicted model, not a curated record.
UUAUUAUAAAAUAUUUCAAUUUGAGAUGGGAUGCAAAGUGGGGGCCCAAAAAGAAUGCUGUGGCUACUUAGCGCUACUCUUACUUACAAAAGGCCCAAGUUGAAGAAAAUACUGUAGCAAAGUGUUCUAUGAUCAGAAACAGCUCGUACUAGGAAUCAAGAACUUCUGCUCUUUCCAAAUCCUCGUACAAGCCUCAAAAUUCUUGAGGUUUUACUAUAAACCUGGAACAAUUCAAGACGCGGAGAAGCUGCUCGAAGAAAUUUCCGAGAAGAACGUCAUUGCAUGGUCGAUCAUGAUUCAUGGGUGACGGAUGAUCCCUGGAAUCUUUUCCCUGUAUGAGAGUUUUAGAGACUAUGUGAAUCAAUCAUGGGCUAGUUUUCAAUACGUUUGUUAGUAAUUCUGUUCUUGACAUGCAUUCAAGCUUGAUUAAUUUGGAUGCUGCCACUAAAAUAUUCAAUGAGAUGGAAAACAAAGAUGUUAUCAGUUGGACAACAAUGAUUGGUUUACUGGUGCACCUUUUGUAGGUGUGUGAAUGUGGAACUUGCUCACGUUGUGUUCGAGGAGAUGAUGUAGUCUCCUGGAAUGCACUUACAAAUGGGUAUGGGAUCAAUGGUAGUGGGGAAACUCCUGUUCAUUUUGAGUGCUUGUAAGUCAUUUCAGAAUUGAUGCAUGAUGGUUUGGUCAGUUUGACAUGCACUUUGAUGCAAACCAAAUGAGGACUGAACUAAACUCAAUCAAGUAUUAUUUCCUGAUGUCCCAUUGAAGGUGUCAACUUCAUCAACAUUGCACCAAAAAUGGGCGUGAAAUAUCAUUGGUGAUGCAAACUUGAUGAUGAUGAUCAGCAAGAGGAUUUAGAAAGCUUGACCUUUAAGAGCUGAAGAGUAGAAAAACUACCGGUGGGAGAACGGAAGGCUGUCAAAUGUGUUGAAUCAGUUUUCGAUUUGCCAAAGUCAAACUACAUUAAUUGGUGGGGCACCUCUUGGAUGGCUACGGCAUUGUUAAAACAUGCUUUUCCCAGUGAACAUUGAGCUCAAGAAAUUUCCAGAAGUUGCUUUUUUAUGGAACUGUGGUUGAGAUAUUUCAAUAAACCUUUCUUAACUACUUAAUCUAAUCAAUACAAUGACUAAGUUCAGUGUUUCUUGCAGAGAUGGGCUGCUUUAAAUGCCUACUAUAACCACAGGCAAAGUGUAACAAAAUUAUACAGUGUUGUUUGCAGGCCCAUCUAGUGUGCUGCUUUGUGGCGAAGGCUCUAAACAUGAGGAUUGCAGACAUUCUUACAUCCAAUUGGAACUAUGUCUGGGCUAUUGAUAUCAUGUUUCUGAAAUCUCUACAACUGGUUGGCUUGUUCUCUCCUUUAGAAGGCAGAGUUUCUACUCUUAUUCUUUUUGUUUUCUCUGCAGCCUCUACUUUCAUCCUUAUAUUUCUCACCCGCCUUGUCGACGCAAUAACAAUCCUUCACUUUUCUUCAGACCCAGUUUGCAUCAAGAGCUGCAAAGGAGGCAUAUGCUGGCAUAGUUUUCCACAAUUGCCAUAAUUCAUCCAAUGAAUACAUUAUAGGGUUGGUAUAGUUCUUACAUUCCCCACAAUAUGAUGUUGGUUUUGUUUAUGAUCUUCGAUGUGAUAGUAAAAAUCUUCAGCUGGUUGGCAUAUGUUUGGAAUCAACGAUUUUAAAUUUGUAAACUAUAUUAUGCAUAA